Long non-coding RNA from Sinocyclocheilus anshuiensis, 109 nucleotides. RefSeq lists it as uncharacterized. The transcript has 3 exons. The record is from RefSeq and is a predicted model, not a curated record. NCBI's taxonomy places the organism in Eukaryota, Metazoa, Chordata, Actinopteri, Cypriniformes, Cyprinidae.
AAAUUUCAUACUCAUAUAGAAUUGUGCCGGUAUUCGGGAAUGCGAUAUAUCACGGUAAUGAAUAUGCACGGUAUUGUUAUCGUGGGCACUUCUAAAUACCGUGAAUAAU